CGUACACUCCUACGGGAGGCAGCAGUGGGGAAUAUUGGACAAUGGGCGCAAGCCUGAUCCAGCCAUGCCGCGUGAGUGAUGAAGGCCCUAGGGUUGUAAAGCUCUUUCACCGGUGAAGAUAAUGACGGUAACCGGAGAAGAAGCCCCGGCUAACUUCGUGCCAGCAGCCGCGGUAAUACGAAGGGGGCUAGCGUUGUUCGGAUUUACUGGGCGUAAAGCGCACGUAGGCGGACUAUUAAGUCAGGGGUGAAAUCCCGGGGCUCAACCCCGGAACUGCCUUUGAUACUGGUAGUCUUGAGUUCGAGAGAGGUGAGUGGAAUUCCGAGUGUAGGGGUGAAAUUCGUAGAUAUUCGGAGGAACACCAGUGGCGAAGGCGGCUCACUGGCUCGAUACUGACGCUGAGGUGCGAAAGCGUGGGGAGCAAACAGGAUUAGAUACCCCAGUAGUCCCAUG
Molecule: ribosomal RNA, 453 nt
Filed under: uncultured organism
Description: partial 16S ribosomal RNA
Rfam family: Bacterial small subunit ribosomal RNA
Source: RNAcentral